GGCUGUCUGAAUAUAGUGUGUUAUCUCAACUGAUUGUACAUAGUUACAGAUUGAACUCCAUGUUCUAUUCUUCCCCCGCUUCUCACUACUGCACUUGACUAGUCUUUA
Molecule: Y RNA, 108 nt
Organism: Callithrix jacchus (white-tufted-ear marmoset)
Lineage: Eukaryota; Metazoa; Chordata; Mammalia; Primates; Cebidae
Rfam family: Y RNA
About the family: Y RNAs are components of the Ro ribonucleoprotein particle (Ro RNP), in association with Ro60 and La proteins. The Y RNAs and Ro60 and La proteins are well conserved, but the function of the Ro RNP is not known.
Source: Ensembl